RNAcentral lists this long non-coding RNA (4556 nucleotides) under Nicotiana benthamiana. RNAcentral describes it as "long non-coding RNA (NBEN_LNC006824)". The record is from RNAcentral. Lineage: Eukaryota; Viridiplantae; Streptophyta; Magnoliopsida; Solanales; Solanaceae.
CAAAAGUAGGAAGAGGAAGAAAAAAUCUGUAGAAGAAUUCUCCACCUUGCUCUCAAUGUAUUCCUGCUGCCAAGGGUGUUGUCUAACCCUAAGUAGUGUCUCUUGCCUCCUUAAGUCUAAUUUUUGUCCAAAAUAUAUUCCUUCUUAUUCAAAAUAGGUUUAGGACCCCUUUUAUAAAAGUUGGAACAAUUUAGGGCCGAAAUAACCUUGUCACGGGUGAAAUAGGACUUCUUUUGGAUGCCUGAAGCGGCGCGACCAUGGCCAAAACGCGGUCAGACAAGCUCUCCGAUUUUCUGCCAUGGACAGUUCUGUAGUUGCAGUUUCAACCGCGUUUUUCACCCUGUUCUAUUUUGAAUUUGGAAACCCAUAAAACGAAAAAGUUGUAGCCCUUUGAGUUAGAUUUCCAACCAUAUAUUAUAAAACUCAAAUGGAGUUUUGAGAAAAAAACUAUGUCUGUUUUACUAGAUAGUGUGCAAUAUGCCUCCUCGAGUCUUCAUUUUGUUGUUUUUUCAUCCAUUGAUCCCCGAAUAUGAUCCCGACUUAAUUCCUUGGGCUUUUACUCAGAAUUCAAAGCUCCAAAUUACUUGAAUUUAUUUCAUAACAUCUGUAUAGUUCGGAAUUACUCCUGCAAGGCAUAAAAUACAUUAUUGGUGCAAAACACUGACGAUUAAAGCGUAAACUCAACUAAAGUGCAAUCAUCACUCGUUCUCCCUUUUUUGUUGAUCUUCAAUUAAACAGGGACAAGCAGGGAAUUUGUAAUGGUACUAAUUAUCUCCCUUUGACUAUUUCUAAUAGCCUUGCUAAGCUAGGAAAUAGUAAUGUCCUCAAAGACUAUGUAAUCUUUUGUUUAGUAAUAUAAUCUUCGUGUUUCCUUUCAAAAAAAAAAAAUAAGCGAUUAAAUGAAGAUCACUUAGACAAUAAUAAAUAAUACAUGAGCAAUUUUUAAAUAAUACAUUAUCUAAUUUUGUCUGCUAAAAAAAUACUAUCAAACAAAAUUUAAAAAAGUAUAAAUGUAAAAGGCAUAAAGAAAAAUUUACAACUUUUUGCGUCUCAGUGAAAUAUUAUCAUAUUUCACGUUCAUUUAGAAAUAUUUUCUUUGAAGUCUCUUUACUUUACCGUUACUGUAUUGGGAAAUUUUGGUCCCCUAUAUUCUUAGGUUAUCUAUGCACGCCUACGAUGUAGAGAACAGCCUAAUCAAGGCCGACUCGAAUAAGGUCGGCCCCAGCAAACGGACGGACCAAACGACAUGACUCAAGACGAUGUCGCUUAAAGUUCUGACUUUCCCGUAUACUGAGACCAUCAACCCCUUGUACUUUUCUUUGAUUAUUUCGAGUAAGGUCCCUUAAUAUGUAAAGGGGACCUUCCCGUUAUAAAGGACUUAUGUGUAUCUUAUAAUUAAGAAUGUACAACUCUCCCUCUCUCUAUCUCUCUCUUUCUACUGAAAAACUCAUUACUUGCUUUAUUGUUCUUACAUUCUAAGAUACCUUCACUAUCAUCACAGAUCCUAAUAAAAUGACUUUCUCUAGUUCAUAUUACCCUUGAUUCUGAUUAGCCUAUAUUAUUUUUUUAUUGUUCUUGAGCUUAACAAGUAUUUAACUUUUUAGCCAAACAAUUUGGCGCCGUCUGUGGGGAUUUCGUGAAUCAAAGUUAAAGUUUGCUUCUAGAGAUCUUUCAAAAAACCACCUUUUACAACACGGAAUGGCUGAACACAACGCAAGAAUGAAAGCUAUCAUGGAUGCUAGAGCCGGUCUUAUGGGCCCUUUCAAAGCGGCUACUGAAGGGGAUGCUCCACACGAAACCCAUAGCACCCUGGUAAGCGUGGAAAACCUACCUUCCCCUUCUGAAGAUCUGGUGGUUCCACGGGAAAAGGAGGCCUCUACAUCUAUAACCAAAGAAGCACGCCCAGAGGUAAACAGCUAUUGGAAGAAUGGUUGACAAGGGCUCUGAGCAGCUUAACCGGAAAACCACCGAACACCAGAUGCACACCAACACCAGUGACGGACCAUGCCAUAAUCGAAGAUGAACUCGAGGUCACACGAACAAACAAGGUGCCCGCCGUUGCUCCAGCUCACAGGGGAUGCUCACAACUAUCCUCAAAAAGAUAGAAGAAAUGGAAAACGAAAAUGUCAAACCUCCUUUUGGCGCGCCUACCCCGAGAGGUGGAAUGCAUAAGGGAGUUUUUCCAAUUUAAGUGACAAUAUUUGAAAUGGGAUUAUUUAUUUAUUUCAGAGUCGCCACUUGGGAAAGGUUUGGCUUUUGGUGUCCCAAGUCACCAGUUUAUCUUGAAUCCCAAUUCGAGGAAAAUGACUUUCCAAAUGAAGUCUGCGAACCAGAAAUUCUAAGUAAGGAAUUUUGUUGACCCGAGAGAACGUGUUAGGCACCCCUGGAUCCCGUGGUUCUAGCACGAUUGCUUAAAUUAUUGUAACGGCUAAAUAUCUGAUUUUAAAACAUGUUAUAACUUAUGUGCUUUUAUUAACAUUAAACCGCUUUAUUAUUAUUUUUUAAUAGAAUUGCAACGUCGUGAAAACGCGUCUCGAACCACGUCGCAAUCAAUGCACCCGUGGUUGUUGACACAUUUCGACUCCGUUGAGAUUUGGAUUUAGGUAACAUAAACGCGCACCCAUGUUUAGGGAGAAUAUAUUAUUAAAAAUGCGCCUAAAGAGACUAACGCAUUGUUAUCUUUGCGGGGGCCAUGGAAUUCGUUAAAUGGCACGCCUCAGUUCUAAAGAGUUUAAAGAUAUAAUUAAAGAAGAUUAUACUAAUGACAAAUUUAUUAUUAUUGCAAAAGUUUGGUCGAAGUUGCGCGAACGCAUACUCCAAAUUAUUUUUUAUAAUCGUAAUUAUAAAUGUAUACAAAAAUCAAUAAAUUCAACACGCAUCUUUUACUAAAUCUCAAUUGGUACACAUAACAAGUUCAGGGAUUUUUACCCGUUAUUCAUUCCAUGGAUCUAAUUCAAUGGAUCAAUUAACAAAGUAGCACAUAGGCAAUACCAAAGUUGUAAGACGUCCGAACUUCUGCUAGUUUUAAGUAAUAUCCCCACCUAAACACAUACUUCGUAUAGAAUGCCCAAAGUGACAAAAAUAAUAAAAUCAAGUCAAGGUUCAGUUGUUAGUAGUAUAUAUAUUAUGAAAAUAUGUAAAUGAAAAGAUAUGGCCUGAAAGUGACUAUCUCUCUUCUUCAGCAAGAAUUAUAUGAACCAAAUCUAAGUUGUCCUAUUUAGCUAUUCACACAAGAAUAUAUCCAUCCUUUAAUUACUGUCAACGAUUCGAAGGACUCAAGAACAGUAAGAUGGAAACUCCUUCAACUAAUGAAACUUAUGGUGUCCUAUUCGUGGUAUGAAAUAACGACUUCAUAUCCAACUUUCAGCUAAUCACAAUAUCAAAUCUAUAUAAAGAUAAAGGACAAUUCAACUAUGAUAAAAUAAAUAAACCAGGAAAUUAGCAUGGUACAAUUACAACUCAAACAGGACAUUAUGAUAAAUACAUAUCACGGCAUGAAACAAGGAUGAAAGAAGCAUAUUAAACUAAUCAUGAACUAAUGUCUGCCAAUUAAACUUCGAAGCAUUUCAUUUCCAUUUUUCUCGAAUCAAAUUGGAAGGUUACAUUUGUAUGAAUUUCAGAAGUGUGUACCUGGAAGUAAAAUGAAAGGAAGAAAAAGUGAGGGUCAGUAGCACAACAACAACAGCUCAGCAGUAAACCAGAGACAGUUGAAUCCAAUAGUAGCCAAGAAUAAUUCAAAAUUCAACCAAACAUCCCAUGAGAUUAACUCAGACGCUAAUGAAAAACAGCAAACUCUGUUUGCAUAAAUCAGAACAAUCUUUCUAAAAAAGAUCCAAUUCAAACCACUUCAAAUCCCUCAAUGAAUCCCAAAUUGUUUCAGCUAAUUGGAGCAAAGACACUAUUGUAAUAGUAUAAGAUUGCAACUAUUUGUAUUUCUAGAUCUUCUACACUCUCAGUGUGUCUAAUUUGUCAAACUCAAAGUGUUUUUCUAGUAAGCUCUCUCUUGUAUCUCUGUUAAACUCUCAAUUUCUCUUGACCGAUUGUCUUUUUUCAAGUUUUUGUUCUCCAAAAUAUGAUCCCUUAAAAUUAUCCAAAUGACUCCUAUUUAUUUGAAACAAGACCUUCUUUCCCUCCCCCUUUAACUAUUACUAUUACCCUUUUAUUAUUAGCUCUUACUUUAAUUUCCAACCCCCAAAUAUGCUCUUCUAUGUGUGCUUUUCAGCUUUUUAUCAUUACUUAAAUAUUCCUAAUUCUCAAUCAACCAAAAGCAGUCAAAUGUUAUCAUUUUCAAUGGUCCCCCCUAAUACUCUUUGUCUAUUAACUUUUCACUUCCACUUAUAAUUGUCUCCAAUCAGUUUAUUAGCAUCUUUAACUUAAUUACUAGUGGUUAAAUUCAAAUAAACACCUGAAAUCCCCUUUCAAACUGUAACAUACCCACAACUAAAUCUAAUUCAAACCUGCUAACUAAUUAAAUUGACUCCUAAUCGAUACAAAUAAAUUGAAUUUAAAUAAAAAUCACAUAAAAGACUUAACAGAAUACUGAAGUUGGAACUUAA